GACGAACGCUGGCGGCGUGCUUAACACAUGCGAGUCGAACGGAAAGGCCCUGCUUUUGUGGGGUGCUCGAGUGGCGAACGGGUGAGUAACACGUGAGUAACAUGCCCUUGACUUUGGGAUAACUCCAGGAAACUGGGGAGAAUACAGGAUAGGAGCUCCUGCUGCAUGGGGGGGGUUGGAAAGUGACGGCGGUGUGGGCUGGACUCGCGGCUUAUCAGCUUGUUGGGGGGGUAGUGGAUUCCCAAGGCUUUGAAGGGUAGCCGGCGUGGGAGGGUGACCGGCGACCUGGGGCCUGCGGGACGGCCCAGAAGCCUACGGGAGGCAGCGGUGGGGAGUUUUGCACAACGGGCGCAAGCCUGAUGCAGCAACGCCGCGUUCGGGAUGACGGCCUUCGGGUUGUAAACCGCUUUCGCCUGUGACGAAGCGUGAGUGACGGUAAUGGGUAAAGAAGCCCCGGCUAACUACGUG
This 468-nucleotide ribosomal RNA is filed under the name uncultured bacterium. RNAcentral describes it as "partial 16S ribosomal RNA". It matches the Rfam family "Bacterial small subunit ribosomal RNA", at positions 28 to 507 of the family's 1533-position model. The record is from RNAcentral.